GAUGAACGCUGGCGGCGUGCCUAAUACAUGCAAGUCGAGCGAACGGACGAGAAGCUUGCUUCUCUGAUGUUAGCGGCGGACGGGUGACUAACACGUGGAUAACCUACCUAUAUGUCUGGGAUAACUUCGGGAAACCGGUGCUAAUACCGGAUAAUAUUUUGUACCGCAUGGUUCAAAAGUGAAAGACGGUCUUGCUGUCACUUAUAGAUGGAUCCGCGCUGCAUUAGCUAGUUGGUAAGGUAACGGCUUACCAAGGCAACGAUGCAUAGCCGACCUGAGAGGGUGAUCGGCCACACUGGAACUGAGACACGGUCCAGACUCCUACGGGAGGCAGCAGUAGGGAAUCUUCCGCAAUGGGCGAAAGCCUGACGGAGCAACGCCGCGUGAGUGAUGAAGGUCUUCGGAUCGUAAAACUCUGUUAUUAGGGAAGAACAUAUGUGUAAGUAACUGUGCACAUCUUGACGGUACCUAAUCAGAAAGCAACGGCUAACUACGUG
Molecule: ribosomal RNA, 497 nt
Filed under: uncultured bacterium
Lineage: Bacteria
Description: partial 16S ribosomal RNA
Rfam family: Bacterial small subunit ribosomal RNA
Source: RNAcentral